Molecule: ribosomal RNA, 200 nt
Filed under: uncultured bacterium
Lineage: Bacteria
Description: partial 16S ribosomal RNA
Rfam family: Bacterial small subunit ribosomal RNA
Source: RNAcentral
AUUGAACGCUGGCGGCAUGCCUUACACAUGCAAGUCGAACGGUAACGCGGGGCAACCUGGCGACGAGUGGCGAACGGGUGAGUAAUAUAUCGGAACGUGCCCAGUAGGGGGGGAUAGCCCGGCGAAAGCCGGAUUAAUACCGCAUACGACCUAUGGGUGAAAGCGGGGGAUCGCAAGACCUCGCGCUAUUGGAGCGGCCG